CGCCUUGCCAGCCCGCUCAGAAACUUAAAGGAAUUGACGGGGCCCGCACAAGCGGAGGAACAUGUGGUUUAAUUCGAUGAUACGCGAGGAACCUACCUGGGCUAGAACGCAAUCGGAAUCAGGCCGAAAGGUCUGCGCCAGCGAUGGCCGCUUGCGAGGUGCUGCAUGGUUGUCGUCAGCUCGUGCCGUGAGGUGUCGGGUUAAGUCCCAUAACGAGCGCAACCCCUACUGCUAGUUGCCAGCGGGUCAUGCCGGGGACUCUAGCGGAACUGCCAGCGUAAGCUGCGAGGAAGGUGGGGAUGACGUCAAAUCAGCACGGCCCUUACGUCCAGGGCUACACACGUGUUACAAUGGCCAGUACAGAGGGCAGCCACCCCGCGAGGGGGCGCUAAUCCUAAAAGCUGGUCCCAGUUCGGAUCGGAGUCUGCAACCCGACUCCGUGAAGCUGGAUUCGCUAGUAAUCGCGCAUCAGCCACGGCGCGGUGAAUACGUUCCCGGGCCUU
RNAcentral lists this ribosomal RNA (503 nucleotides) under uncultured Rikenellaceae bacterium. Its description in RNAcentral is "bacterial SSU rRNA". It matches the Rfam family "Bacterial small subunit ribosomal RNA", at positions 903 to 1382 of the family's 1533-position model. The record is from RNAcentral. Lineage: Bacteria; Pseudomonadati; Bacteroidota; Bacteroidia; Bacteroidales; Rikenellaceae.